This 120-nucleotide ribosomal RNA is filed under the name uncultured bacterium. Its description in RNAcentral is "partial 16S ribosomal RNA". It matches the Rfam family "Bacterial small subunit ribosomal RNA", at positions 28 to 149 of the family's 1533-position model. The record is from RNAcentral.
GACGAACGCUGACGGUGUGCUUUAGACAUGCAAGUCGAACGAGAAAGCCCUUCGGGGUGAGUACAGUGGCGAACGGGUGAGUAACACGUGGGUAACCUGCCCCUCGCAGAGGGACAACCG